GAUGAACGCUGGCGGCGUGCCUAAUACAUGCAAGUCGAGCGAACAGACGAGGAUCUUGCUCCUCUGACGUUAGCGGCGGACGGGUGAGUAACACGUGUAUAACCUACCUAUAAGACUGGGAUAACUUCGGGAAACCGGAGCUAAUACCGGAUAAUAUAUUGAACCUCAUGGUUCAAUAGUGAAAUACGGUUUUGCUGUCACUUAUAGAUGUAUCCGGGACGCAUUAGCUAGUUGGUAAGGUAACGGCUUACCAAGGCGACGAUGCGUAGCCGACCUGAGAGGGUGAUAGGACACACUGGAACAGAGACACGGUCCAGACUCCUACGGGAGGCAGCAGUAGGGAAUAUUGGGCAAUGGGCGAAAGCAUGACGGAGCAAAGCCGCGUGAGUGAUGAAGGUCUUCGGAUCGUAAAACACUGUUAUUAGGGAAGAAAAAAAGUGUAAGAAACUAUGCACGUCUUGACGGUACCUAAUAAGAAAGCAACGGCUAACUACGUG
RNAcentral lists this ribosomal RNA (497 nucleotides) under uncultured bacterium. RNAcentral's name for it is "partial 16S ribosomal RNA". It matches the Rfam family "Bacterial small subunit ribosomal RNA", at positions 28 to 507 of the family's 1533-position model. The record is from RNAcentral.